UACGGGGGGGGCAAGCGUUGUUCGGAAUUACUGGGCGUAAAGGGCUCGUAGGCGGCCAACUAAGUCGGAUGUGAAAUCCCCAGGCUUAACCUGGGAACUGCAUCCGAUACUGGAUGGCUUGAAUCCGGGAGAGGGAUGCAGAAUUCCAGGUGUAGCGGUGAAAUGCGUAGAUAUCUGGAGGAAUACCGGUGGCGAAGGCGGCAUCCUGGACCGGCAUUGACGCUGAUGAGCGAAAGCUGGGGGAGCAAACCGG
This 253-nucleotide ribosomal RNA is filed under the name uncultured bacterium. RNAcentral describes it as "partial 16S ribosomal RNA". It matches the Rfam family "Bacterial small subunit ribosomal RNA", at positions 524 to 776 of the family's 1533-position model. The record is from RNAcentral.